RNAcentral lists this ribosomal RNA (451 nucleotides) under uncultured bacterium. RNAcentral describes it as "bacterial SSU rRNA". It matches the Rfam family "Bacterial small subunit ribosomal RNA", at positions 354 to 796 of the family's 1533-position model. The record is from RNAcentral.
GUAGGGAAUCUUCCGCAAUGGGCGCAAGCCUGACGGAGCAACGCCGCGUGAGUGAUGAAGGCCUUCGGGUUGUAAAACUCUGUCUUCUGUGAAGAACCAUCCUGUGCAGAGAAAGCUCAGGACCUGACGGUAACAGAGGAGGAAGCCCCGGCUAACUACGUGCCAGCAGCCGCGGUAAUACGUAGGGGGCAAGCGUUGUCCGGAAUCACUGGGCGUAAAGCGCGCGCAGGCGGUCUUUCACGUCCGGGGUGAAAGCCCAGAGCUCAACUCUGGGAUUGCCUUGGAUACGGGGAGACUUGAGGGUCGGAGAGGCAAGGGGAAUUCCACGUGUAGCGGUGAAAUGCGUAGAGAUGUGGAGGAACACCUGUGGCGAAGGCGCCUUGCUGGCCGACUUCUGACGCUGAGGCGCGAAAGCGUGGGGAGCAAACAGGAUUAGAAACCCGGGUAGUCC